UCCCUGGUGGCUCAGAUGGUAAAGUGUCUGUCUGCAAUGCAGGAGACCUGGGUUUGAUCCCUGGGUUGGGAA
Transfer RNA from Ovis aries (sheep), 72 nucleotides. It matches the Rfam family "tRNA". Rfam says of the family: Transfer RNA (tRNA) molecules are approximately 80 nucleotides in length. Their secondary structure includes four short double-helical elements and three loops (D, anti-codon, and T loops). The record is from Rfam. NCBI's taxonomy places the organism in Eukaryota, Metazoa, Chordata, Mammalia, Artiodactyla, Bovidae.